UACGUAGGUGGCAAGCGUUGUCCGGAUUUAUUGGGUUUAAAGGGUGCGUAGGCGGUCUGUUAAGUCAGUGGUGGAAUACUUCAGCUCAACUGGAGAGGUGCCAUUGAAACUGGCAGACUUGAGUAUUGGAGGGGGUGGUGGAAUUCCCGGUGUAGAGGUGAAAUUCGUAGAUAUCGGAAGGAAUACCAGUGGCGAAGGCGGCCCCCUGGCCAGAGACUGACGCUCAGAUGCGAAAGCGUGGGGAGCAAACAGG
This 253-nucleotide ribosomal RNA is filed under the name uncultured bacterium. RNAcentral's name for it is "partial 16S ribosomal RNA". It matches the Rfam family "Bacterial small subunit ribosomal RNA", at positions 524 to 776 of the family's 1533-position model. The record is from RNAcentral.